RNAcentral lists this ribosomal RNA (253 nucleotides) under uncultured bacterium. RNAcentral's name for it is "partial 16S ribosomal RNA". It matches the Rfam family "Bacterial small subunit ribosomal RNA", at positions 524 to 776 of the family's 1533-position model. The record is from RNAcentral.
UACGGAGGGUGCAAGCGUUAUCCGGAUUCACUGGGUUUAAAGGGUGCGUAGGUGGGUUGGUAAGUCAGUGGUGAAAUCUCCGAGCUUAACUUGGAAACUGCCAUUGAUACUAUCAGUCUUGAAUAUUGUGGAGGUCAGCGGAAUAUGUCAUGUAGCGGUGAAAUGCUUAGAUAUGACAUAGAACACCAAUUGCGAAGGCAGCUUACUACACAGUUAUUGACGCUGAGGCACGAAAGCGUGGGGAUCAAACAGG